This 472-nucleotide ribosomal RNA is filed under the name uncultured bacterium. RNAcentral's name for it is "partial 16S ribosomal RNA". It matches the Rfam family "Bacterial small subunit ribosomal RNA", at positions 28 to 507 of the family's 1533-position model. The record is from RNAcentral.
GACGAACGCUGGCGGCGUGCUUAACACAUGCAAGUCGAACGCUGAAGCUUGGUGCUUGCACUGGGUGGAUGAGUGGCGAACGGGUGAGUAAUACGUGAGUAACCUGCCCUUGACUCUGGGAUAAGCCUGGGAAACUGGGUCUAAUACUGGAUACGACAUGCCACUGCAUGGUGGUGUGUGGAAAGGGUUUUACUGGUUUUGGAUGGGCUCACGGCCUAUCAGCUUGUUGGUGGGGUAAUGGCCUACCAAGGCGACGACGGGUAGCCGGCCUGAGAGGGUGACCGGCCACACUGGGACUGAGACACGGCCCAGACUCCUACGGGAGGCAGCAGUGGGGAAUAUUGCACAAUGGGCGGAAGCCUGAUGCAGUGACGCCGCGUGAGGGAUGACGGCCUUCGGGUUGUAAACCUCUUUCAGCACGGAAGAAGCGAGAGUGACGGUACGUGCAGAAGAAGCGCCGGCUAACUACGUG